GUUUCAAUAUUCAAGAAGACUCAGACGCACAGAUGCAGAGUUGGGUGGACCGCCGGGGGCCCAUAGCCGUAAGCGGCAGGGUCGCCCCCGAGGCAACAUGGUCGGUACACAAGGGUUGGAGGUCGGGCCGCUUGGGCCCUAGCUCUUCAAUGAUCCCUCCGCAGGUUCACCUACGGAGA
This 179-nucleotide unclassified non-coding RNA is filed under the name uncultured fungus. Its description in RNAcentral is "sequence contains ITS1". Lineage: Eukaryota; Fungi. The record is from RNAcentral.